RNAcentral lists this ribosomal RNA (497 nucleotides) under uncultured bacterium. Its description in RNAcentral is "partial 16S ribosomal RNA". It matches the Rfam family "Bacterial small subunit ribosomal RNA", at positions 28 to 507 of the family's 1533-position model. The record is from RNAcentral.
GAUGAACGCUGGCGGCGUGCCUAAUACAUGCAAGUCGAGCGAACAGACGAGGAGCUUGCUCCUCUGACGUUAGCGGCGGACGGGUGAGUAACACGUGGAUAACCUACCUAUAAGACUGGGAUAACUUCGGGAAACCGGAGCUAAUACCGGAUAAUAUAUUGAACCGCAUGGUUCAAUAGUGAAAGACGGUUUUGCUGUCACUUAUAGAUGGAUCCGCGCCGCAUUAGCUAGUUGGUAAGGUAACGGCUUACCAAGGCAACGAUGCGUAGCCGACCUGAGAGGGUGGACCGCCACACCGGAACUUGAGCACGGGCCCAGCCCCUACGGGAGGCAGCAGUAGGGAAUCUUCCGCAAUGGGCGAAAGCCUGACGGAGCAACGCCGCGUGAGUGAUGAAGGUCUUCGGAUCGUAAAACUCUGUUAUUAGGGAAGAACAAAUGUGUAAGUAACUAUGCACGUCUUGACGGUACCUAAUCAGAAAGCCACGGCUAACUACGUG